RNAcentral lists this ribosomal RNA (256 nucleotides) under uncultured archaeon. Its description in RNAcentral is "partial 16S ribosomal RNA". It matches the Rfam family "Bacterial small subunit ribosomal RNA", at positions 521 to 776 of the family's 1533-position model. The record is from RNAcentral.
UAAUACAGAGGCCUCAAGCGUUGUUCGGAUUCAUUGGGCGUAAAGGGUGCGUAGGUGGUUUGGUAAGUUGAAGGUGAAAUCUCGGGGCUUAACUCCGAAACUGCCUUCAAUACUGCUGGACUUGAGGAUUGUAGAGGAGAAUGGAAUUCACGGUGUAGCAGUGAAAUGCGUAGAUAUCGUGAGGAAGACCAGUGGCGAAGGCGAUUCUCUGGGCAAUUCCUGACACUGAGGCACGAAGGCCAGGGGAGCAAACGGG